UACGUAGGGGGCAAGCGUUAUCCGGAUUUACUGGGUGUAAAGGGAGCGUAGACGGCUGUGCAAGUCUGAAGUGAAAGGCAUGGGCUCAACCUGUGGACUGCUUUGGAAACUGUGCAGCUAGAGUGUCGGAGAGGUAAGUGGAAUUCCUAGUGUAGCGGUGAAAUGCGUAGAUAUUAGGAGGAACACCAGUGGCGAAGGCGGCUUACUGGACGAUGACUGACGUUGAAGCUCGAAAGCGUGGGGAGCAAACAGG
This 253-nucleotide ribosomal RNA is filed under the name Dorea formicigenerans. RNAcentral's name for it is "partial 16S ribosomal RNA". It matches the Rfam family "Bacterial small subunit ribosomal RNA", at positions 524 to 776 of the family's 1533-position model. The record is from RNAcentral. Lineage: Bacteria; Bacillati; Bacillota; Clostridia; Lachnospirales; Lachnospiraceae.